GCUUGUCUCAAAGAUUAAGCCAUGCAUGUCUCAGUAUAAGUUCCUGUACGGCGAAACUGCGAAUGGCUCAUUAAAACAGUUAUAGUUUAUUUGAUGGUCGUUCCUUACAUGGAUAACUGUGGUAAUUCUAGAGCUAAUACAUGCACCCAUGCCCGACUUUGUGGAAGGGUUGUGUUUAUUAGUUACAGAACCAACCCAGGCUCUGCCUGGUCUUGUGGUGAUUCAUAAUAACUUUCGGAUCGAUCCUCGGAUCGAUGCAUCAUUCAAGUUUCUGCCCUAUCAGCUUUGGAUGGUAGGGUAUUGGCCUACCAUGGCUUUAACGGGUAACGGAGAAUUAGGGUUCGAUUCCGGAGAGGGAGCCUGAGAAAUGGCUACCACAUCCAAGGAAGGCAGCAGG
Molecule: ribosomal RNA, 397 nt
Filed under: Oxytoxum lohmannii
Lineage: Eukaryota; Dinophyceae; Peridiniales; Oxytoxaceae
Description: Amphidinium longum partial small subunit ribosomal RNA
Rfam family: Eukaryotic small subunit ribosomal RNA
Source: RNAcentral